UACGAAGGGGGCUAGCGUUGCUCGGAUUGACUGGGCGUAAAGGGCGCGUAGGCGGUUCGUACAGUCAGACGUGAAAUUCCUGGGCUCAACCUGGGGGCUGCGUUUGAUACGUGCGGACUUGAGUGCGGAAGAGGGUCGUGGAAUUCCCAGUGUAGAGGUGAAAUUCGUAGAUAUUGGGAAGAACACCGGUGGCGAAGGCGGCGACCUGGUCCGAUACUGACGCUGAGGCGCGAAGGCGUGGGGAGCAAACAGG
Molecule: ribosomal RNA, 253 nt
Filed under: uncultured bacterium
Lineage: Bacteria
Description: partial 16S ribosomal RNA
Rfam family: Bacterial small subunit ribosomal RNA
Source: RNAcentral